AUGAUCUUGGUGAAACGAGUAGGAAAUUUUUUGUUUUCUGCAACGUUCCCCAACACGGGCAUCUUCGCUAACCCGGUCAAAGAAGAGAUCGACGCCAUCGCUAGGAUCCUUGCCUGUUUUGGGGAUGCAUCAGGCCUCGUCACAAACGUCAGCAAGACCGAGGUGUUCCCCAUUCGCUGCCAGGACAUCGAUCUCCCGGCAAUCCUCUCGGCCUUCCCGGCCAAGCUGGCCUCGUUCCCCGGCCGAUACCUAGGUCUCCCACUACAUACUAGGCGGCUCAGAAGGGUUGACCUCCAACCUCUUCUAGACAAGGCAAUGGGCCGGUUGCCGGGCUAGAAGGGGAAGAACCUGGCGCGACCGGGCAGG
This 366-nucleotide ribosomal RNA is filed under the name Triticum aestivum (bread wheat). RNAcentral describes it as "partial small subunit ribosomal RNA". Lineage: Eukaryota; Viridiplantae; Streptophyta; Magnoliopsida; Poales; Poaceae. The record is from RNAcentral.